Molecule: ribosomal RNA, 428 nt
Filed under: uncultured bacterium
Lineage: Bacteria
Description: partial 16S ribosomal RNA
Rfam family: Bacterial small subunit ribosomal RNA
Source: RNAcentral
GUAGGGAAUAUUGCGCAAUGGACGAAAGUCUGACGCAGCGACGCCGCGUGAGUGAUGAAGGCCUUAGGGUCGUAAAGCUCUGUUGAAUGGGAAGAAAAAAAUGACGGUACCAUUCGAGGAAGGACCGGCUAACUUCGUGCCAGCAGCCGCGGUAAUACGAGGGGUCCUAGCGGUGUUCGGAAUCAUUGGGCGUAAAGGGUGUGUAGGUGGCCAUGUAAGUCAGGUGUGAAAGCCCCGGGCUCAACCCGGGAAGUGCACUUGAUACUGCGUGGCUUGAGUACCGAAGAGGGUAGUGGAAUUCCAGGUGUAGUGGUGAAAUACGUAGAUAUCUGGAGGAACACCGGUGGCGAAGGCGGCUACCUGGUCGAGUACUGACACUGAGACACGAAAGCAUGGGGAUCAAACAGGAUUAGAUACCCUUGUAGUCC